GAUACGCGCACCUCACCCCUCCCCUCCUGGCCUGCCUCUUCUCGCUCCCAUUCGUUUCCCACGCAGAUAACAAUGGCGACGGCGGCGGCGGCGCCAUCGGGGCGGGGAAGAUGGCGGCGAGCUGAAUAAUGGCGAGUCCGACUUCUUCGUGUCCGUCUGGCGCUGGCUGCGGUGUUGGCGACAAUCCGAGGGCGUUUGUGCGUUGCGGAUCCGGGAGACCGGAGGCCCUUGCGGUGGGUCUCGCGUUCGAAAGCUUCGCCGGAUGUGGUGAUGGUGACCGGAGCGGAGUCGGAGUUGGGGCUACAGGCCCUGUUUUCGGAUUAUGGUUUGUGGUGGUUCAUCUAUCUUCGUGUCUUUGGUGUGUUGGAGCCAUGAUGAAGGACCUAUUAUGCGGCCUCAAAAGCCAUAGAUGGCGAUGCGGGGAAAUGGCUUCUUUCGGCUCGAGCAGACGACGAGCGGCCGGCCGGCAGGUGGUUAAGGCGAGCCUGGAGUUUAAUGUUGUAAGGAUCGUUGUGCUUAGGUUGCAGGGCUUGUGGUCUGUUUCCGUCUUUGUUUGUGUACGGAGUGCUUGUAUUUGUUGUUGUCAUGUACUGCGUAUAAGAAUAUGAAUACAAGCAUCCUUUUCUAAA
Molecule: long non-coding RNA, 629 nt
Organism: Aegilops tauschii subsp. strangulata
Lineage: Eukaryota; Viridiplantae; Streptophyta; Magnoliopsida; Poales; Poaceae
Source: RefSeq, a predicted model, not a curated record